CAAGGUGCUGCAUGGUUGUCGUCAGCUCGUGCCGUGAGGUGUCGGGUUAAGUCCCAUAACGAGCGCAACCCCUACCUUUAGUUGCCAUCAGGUUAAGCGUGGGGACUCUAAAGGAACUGCCUACGCAAGUAGUGAGGAAGGCGGGGAUGACGUCAAAUCAGCACGGCCCUUACGUCCAGGGCUACACACGUGCUACAAUGGCCGAUACAGAGGGCAGCUACCUGGUGACAGGAUGCAAAUCUCCAAAGUCGGUCUCAGUUCGGAUCGGAGUCUGCAACCCGACUCCGUGAAGUUGGAUUCGCUAGUAAUCGCGCAUCAGCCAUGGCGCGGUGAAUACGUUCCCGGCCUU
Molecule: ribosomal RNA, 349 nt
Filed under: uncultured Sphingobacteriales bacterium
Lineage: Bacteria; Pseudomonadati; Bacteroidota; Sphingobacteriia; Sphingobacteriales
Description: bacterial SSU rRNA
Rfam family: Bacterial small subunit ribosomal RNA
Source: RNAcentral